This 930-nucleotide ribosomal RNA is filed under the name Weissella confusa. RNAcentral's name for it is "bacterial SSU rRNA". It matches the Rfam family "Bacterial small subunit ribosomal RNA", at positions 1 to 880 of the family's 1533-position model. The record is from RNAcentral. Lineage: Bacteria; Bacillati; Bacillota; Bacilli; Lactobacillales; Lactobacillaceae.
UCGUCGUAGUAGUGUUUUGAAUCAUUGCUCAGGAUGAACGCUGGCGGCGUGCUAAUACAUGCAAGUCGAACGCUUUGUGGUUCAACUGAUUUGAAGAGCUUGCUCAGAUAUGACGAUGGACAUUGCAAAGAGUGGCGAACGGGUGAGUAACACGUGGGAAACUACCUCUUAGCAGGGGAUAACAUUUGGAAACAGAUGCUAAUACCGUAUAACAAUGACAACCGCAUGGUUGUUAUUUAAAAGAUGGUUCUGCUAUCACUAAGAGAUGGUCCCGCGGUGCAUUAGCUAGUUGGUAAGGUAAUGGCUUACCAAGGCGAUGAUGCAUAGCCGAGUUGAGAGACUGAUCGGCCACAAUGGGACUGAGACACGGCCCAUACUCCUACGGGAGGCAGCAGUAGGGAAUCUUCCACAAUGGGCGAAAGCCUGAUGGAGCAACGCCGCGUGUGUGAUGAAGGGUUUCGGCUCGUAAAACACUGUUGUAAGAGAAGAAUGACAUUGAGAGUAACUGUUCAAUGUGUGACGGUAUCUUACCAGAAAGGAACGGCUAAAUACGUGCCAGCAGCCGCGGUAAUACGUAUGUUCCAAGCGUUAUCCGGAUUUAUUGGGCGUAAAGCGAGCGCAGACGGUUAUUUAAGUCUGAAGUGAAAGCCCUCAGCUCAACUGAGGAAUUGCUUUGGAAACUGGAUGACUUGAGUGCAGUAGAGGAAAGUGGAACUCCAUGUGUAGCGGUGAAAUGCGUAGAUAUAUGGAAGAACACCAGUGGCGAAGGCGGCUUUCUGGACUGUAACUGACGUUGAGGCUCGAAAGUGUGGGUAGCAAACAGGAUUAGAUACCCUGGUAGUCCACACCGUAAACGAUGAGUGCUAGGUGUUUGAGGGUUUCCGCCCUUAAGUGCCGCAGCUAACGCAUUAAGCACUCCGGCGUGGGGAG